This 252-nucleotide ribosomal RNA is filed under the name uncultured bacterium. Its description in RNAcentral is "partial 16S ribosomal RNA". It matches the Rfam family "Bacterial small subunit ribosomal RNA", at positions 524 to 776 of the family's 1533-position model. The record is from RNAcentral.
UACGGAGGGGGCUAGCGUUGUUCGGAAUUACUGGGCGUAAAGCGCGCGUAGGCGGAUCUGCAAGUCGGGGUGAAAUCCCGAGGCUCAACCUCGGAACUGCCUUCGAUACUGCGGGUCUCGAGUCCGGGAGAGGUGAGUGGAAUUCCUAGUGUAGAGGUGAAAUUCGUAGAUAUUAGGAAGAACACCAGUGGCGAAGGCGGCUCACUGGCCCGGUACUGACGCUGAGGCGCGAAAGCGUGGGGAGCAAACAGG